Molecule: ribosomal RNA, 390 nt
Filed under: uncultured Alphaproteobacteria bacterium
Lineage: Bacteria; Pseudomonadati; Pseudomonadota; Alphaproteobacteria
Description: bacterial SSU rRNA
Rfam family: Bacterial small subunit ribosomal RNA
Source: RNAcentral
GCAAGUCGAGCGCUUCUCCUUCAAGAGAAGAGCGGCGAACGGGUGAGUAACACGUAGGUAACGUACCUUCAGGUGGGGGAUAACUCAGGGAAACUUGAGCUAAUACCGCAUGUGACUUCGGUUGAAAGACUUCGGUUGCCUGAAGAUCGGCCUGCGGCCCAUUACCUAGAUGGUGAGGUAACGGCUCACCAUGGGAGCGAUGGGUAGCUGGUCUGAGAGGAUGAUCAGCCACACUGGGACUGAGACACGGCCCAGACUCCUACGGGAGGCAGCAGUGGGGAAUAUUGGACAAUGGGCGAAAGCCUGAUCCAGCCACGCCGCGUGAGUGAUGAAGGCCCUCGGGUUGUAAAGCUCUGUCGGGAGGGACGAAGUUCUGACGGUACCUCCCAA